RNAcentral lists this unclassified non-coding RNA (440 nucleotides) under soil metagenome. RNAcentral describes it as "partial contains 5.8S ribosomal RNA, internal transcribed spacer 2, and large subunit ribosomal RNA". The stretch from base 1 to 120 matches the Rfam family "5.8S ribosomal RNA", at positions 35 to 154 of the family's 154-position model. The record is from RNAcentral.
GAUGAAGAACGCAGCGAAAUGCGAUACGUAGUGUAAAUUGCAGAAUUCCGUGAACCAUCGAAUCUUUGAACGCAUAUUGCGCUCGAGGCCUCGGCCGAGAGCAUGCCUGUCUCAGCGUCGGCUCACCCCCUCGCCCCCCAUGCCGCCCGCUCUCGCAGCGGGCGCCGUGGCGCGGCGGACCUGGCCUUCUCGGCGCCACCUUUCCACCGAAAGGCGGCCGCCGGGUCGGCUGAAAUGCGGGGACUGCAGCACGGACCCGAUCAGGGCGCCAGCAUGGUAGGUGGCUUCGCCACAUGCCGCUGACGCCCGCCCGGGACCGGCCGCUCGGUCGGCAGGAAUCGGGGGCGCGCGCCGCGAGGUGCGCCCCCCGACACUUUUACUUUCGACCUGAGAUCAGGCAAGACCACCCGCUGAACUUAAGCAUAUCAAUAAGCGGAGGA